CAGUGAAAUAUUGGAGGAUAUAUCACAUUGCAAUCGUAGCAUCAGUUUGUGGAGUUGUAGCUACUGGCAUCAUUGUGUUACUAACCUGCUGGAAGAAACUGCACUCCAAGUCCACCACAAACAAUUCUGAUGGCAUAAGCAUGAAGUCUGAAAAUAAAGAGAUUUCAUAUGUGUAUGAGAAUGUGGGGGCUGUUCAUCCUUGCACCAACGCUCCUAAAAUGACCUUCCCUCUGUAUGAGAAUGUAACAAUUUAUGAGAAUUGUACCGCUCACAGGAAUAUGCCGUAGUGGACGAUGGCACACACCAAAACAGUCUUCAUUUGACUGUGGGUGAAGCCCAAAUGUGACAAUGGAUACAAGUAGAAGUUAUCAUGAAAAUAUAUUGUUGCUUUAUUCAUU
Non-coding RNA from Pimephales promelas (fathead minnow), 398 nucleotides. Lineage: Eukaryota; Metazoa; Chordata; Actinopteri; Cypriniformes; Leuciscidae. The record is from RefSeq and is a predicted model, not a curated record.